GGAUGAACGCUGGCGGCGUGCCUAAUACAUGCAAGUCGAACGAACUUCCGUUAAUUGAUUAUGACGUACUUGUACUGAUUGAGAUUUUAACACGAAGUGAGUGGCGAACGGGUGAGUAACACGUGGGUAACCUGCCCAGAAGUAGGGGAUAACACCUGGAAACAGAUGCUAAUACCGUAUAACAGAGAAAACCGCAUGGUUUUCUUUUAAAAGAUGGCUCUGCUAUCACUUCUGGAUGGACCCGCGGCGUAUUAGCUAGUUGGUGAGGUAAAGGCUCACCAAGGCAGUGAUACGUAGCCGACCUGAGAGGGUAAUCGGCCACAUUGGGACUGAGACACGGCCCAGACUCCUACGGGAGGCAGCAGUAGGGAAUCUUCCACAAUGGACGCAAGUCUGAUGGAGCAACGCCGCGUGAGUGAAGAAGGGUUUCGGCUCGUAAAGCUCUGUUGUUAAAGAAGAACGUGGGUAAGAGUAACUGUUUACCCAGUGACGGUAUUUAACCAGAAAGCCACGGCUAACUACGUGCCAGCAGCCGCGGUAAUACGUAGGUGGCAAGCGUUAUCCGGAUUUAUUGGGCGUAAAGCGAGCGCAGGCGGUCUUUUAAGUCUAAUGUGAAAGCCUUCGGCUCAACCGAAGAAGUGCAUUGGAAACUGGGAGACUUGAGUGCAGAAGAGGACAGUGGAACUCCAUGUGUAGCGGUGAAAUGCGUAGAUAUAUGGAAGAACACCAGUGGCGAAGGCGGCUGUCUGGUCUGCAACUGACGCUGAGGCUCGAAAGCAUGGGUAGCGAACAGGAUUAGAUACCCUGGUAGUCCAUGCCGUAAACGAUGAUUACUAAGUGUUGGAGGGUUUCCGCCCUUCAGUGCUGCAGCUAACGCAUUAAGUAAUCCGCCUGGGGAGUACGACCGCAAGGUUGAAACUCAAAAGAAUUGACGGGGGCCCGCACAAGCGGUGGAGCAUGUGGUUUAAUUCGAAGCUACGCGAAGAACCUUACCAGGUCUUGACAUCUUCUGACAGUCUAAGAGAUUAGAGGUUCCCUUCGGGGACAGAAUGACAGGUGGUGCAUGGUUGUCGUCAGCUCGUGUCGUGAGAUGUUGGGUUAAGUCCCGCAACGAGCGCAACCCUUAUUACUAGUUGCCAGCAUUAAGUUGGGCACUCUAGUGAGACUGCCGGUGACAAACCGGAGGAAGGUGGGGACGACGUCAAAUCAUCAUGCCCCUUAUGACCUGGGCUACACACGUGCUACAAUGGAUGGUACAACGAGUCGCGAGACCGCGAGGUUAAGCUAAUCUCUUAAAACCAUUCUCAGUUCGGACUGUAGGCUGCAACUCGCCUACACGAAGUCGGAAUCGCUAGUAAUCGCGGAUC
Molecule: ribosomal RNA, 1367 nt
Filed under: Pediococcus pentosaceus
Lineage: Bacteria; Bacillati; Bacillota; Bacilli; Lactobacillales; Lactobacillaceae
Description: bacterial SSU rRNA
Rfam family: Bacterial small subunit ribosomal RNA
Source: RNAcentral